Long non-coding RNA from Salmo trutta (river trout), 1549 nucleotides. The record is from Ensembl. NCBI's taxonomy places the organism in Eukaryota, Metazoa, Chordata, Actinopteri, Salmoniformes, Salmonidae.
GUACGAGAUCUAACCAGUCGCAACUGAUUGGAUAUCAUUGUCUCGUUCAAUUUAAUAUACAUUAAAUUGCUACACUACCGCCCAGGUUGGUUAUUGGAAUAAUACGCAAACUAAUGUGUACUAACCAAUGAGACAUAGUUAAACUUUUCAACGUUAACUUAGAGAUAGCAACUCUUUCAGGUGAAUUAAAAUUAAAAUUCCCAAAUAGCCGAUACAGGUUAGAUUUAUCAUUAAAAUCGAUUUAAUCAAUUAAACCUGUUUUGGCAAGUUCAGUAAUAACCAACUCACAUUACUGACCCAGUCUUGAUGAUUCAUUGACGUUUACAAACUGAGUUAAAUCGUGUUUGCAGCCUCCAACUAAAAACCCCAAACAUUACGUAAAUUGAAAUAACUGACAAUCAUAAUAAUGAGCAAUCCAUCAGAUGGGUUUCCACCCAUUUCCCCUCUAAUCAGUGGACCUUCACCCACGGAAAGAUUGAUCGCGGACCUCAGCAACGAUGCAAAUCCUAACUAUGCCGAGGGGCUGAAAAUGUUAGAUUUCAAUGCCAUAAGCGAGAAAAAUGCAGACAUUGCGACAGACGCUCUUCAAAAUAGACCAUCAGGCGGAGGCCUUGUGAAGGUUCUCUCCAGUUUAGCCCUCAACUAUGCCCACCAGCAGAGAUGGACAGUGCACCAGUACCUCAGUGCCCAGCAGAGGCACGAGCAGGAAGCUGGGGAGUUCAAGGUACAGGUGGAGAGAACCAGGGAGCUGGCAUCGAAAGCCGAAAAAGAUAAGCUACUGCUAGCUGAGGAACUGUGUGUGAGAACAGAUAAAUUGGAAGAUCUGUCUAACACUUAUAACAAAGAACGCGAACAAUCUCUUGACCAAGUCCGUAUUCUAAAAGAACAACUCGGUUUAGCCAAAACUAAAUACGAUGAAGUCCACGCGAAACUAGAUGAAUCGGAAGAGCUAGUUAGAAAACGGGGCGAGCAAAUUGGUGCCCUACAAACGGUUGUGAAUGAAACCACUCAAAGCAAUAAUGCUCUAUUCCAAAAGCUGCAGACCAAAGACGAUCAGUUAAUGAACACAAUGACCAAGUUGGAGGACAAAACAGCAGAACUCAUUGAAGUCGCUGAUUUAAUGAAGGAUGAGAAAGACCAGGUGAGAAAGUUGGAAAAUGUGACCUCUAAACAAAAGGAGGACAUCGCAUCACUGGAUCUCUCACUCCACACUCGCGACCUCUCCCUGCAAACCAUGACAGACAAGUAUGAGGCCGAGCGAAAAAAGGGCGACACCUACGUGUCGAAAAUAAACACCCUCAACUCCCAGGUGGACUCUGCGAUGCAGCAUAACACCACCCUUAGGUAUCAUCUGGAGGAACUCCAGAACAGUCACGCGCUAUCGCGGGACAACCAAACCAAGCAACCUAGCUCACAUCCGGAGCUAAGAGAACGAGGGAAUGUAGAUGACAGGAGAUUUCAGCCUCUUUCUCUUGGCCAUUCGGCCCACAGUGAAUUGGGGCCUCCUCGCCAACACAACCACAGCUUGACUUUUCCUCUUGGCCUCUCG